This 91-nucleotide transfer RNA is filed under the name Streptomyces phaeofaciens. RNAcentral's name for it is "tRNA-Cys". The record is from RNAcentral. Lineage: Bacteria; Bacillati; Actinomycetota; Actinomycetes; Kitasatosporales; Streptomycetaceae. RNAcentral also lists the same sequence under 1 other name.
CUGCUGCGGGCGGUACGGACGGCCGCGGCGGCCGCAGCCCGCUGAACGGGCCCGCGGCCCGGUGGCGGCCGUCCGGCCCGCCCGCGGCAGC